This 898-nucleotide long non-coding RNA is filed under the name Fragaria vesca (wild strawberry). RNAcentral describes it as "long non-coding RNA (FVES_LNC004411)". Lineage: Eukaryota; Viridiplantae; Streptophyta; Magnoliopsida; Rosales; Rosaceae. The record is from RNAcentral.
ACUCAUUAUAAUCCAUAUGCACUUCUGUACCUGAGCCCCCAAUAGCAUGACCAAUAUUGAGGAAGAUUGAAUAACCACCAGGCAUAUCACAAUGUUCCGCAUCAGCAUUUCGUCCAAGGUUAGUACCACGUGUAACUGAAUCUUCCAAGUACAUGGAACAAAACGACAUGGUCUCAUCAUUGAUGUAGCCUUCAGCAAUUGAACCCUCUGGUCGACUUUUGUUACGGACAUACCCCUUAAGUGUCCUCAAGUUCAUGAUUAAGUGUGAGGUACAAUACAAACAUAUUUAAUAAGAAAGAACCUUGAAGAUUAAACCAAGAGAAACAAACAUAAGUUAAGACUAUGAGAUCAGUAACAUCAAGUUCUAUUUCAAAAACAAAUUUGUUUAUUUAUUUAGGUAUUAUGUUCCAUAAACACAAAAAAUAAAAUAAACUUACAUACCUCUCCACAGGCCACAUCGUCCGGAAGUGAACAGGGCCGGCAAUUGCAGCUUCAUAUGCUAAGUGAACUGGCAAAUGAACCAUAAUGUCAAAGAAAGAAGGUGGAAACAUUUUCUCCAGCUGGCAAAGAAUAAGAACUAUGCUUGGUGUCAAUUGUGAAAAUGACUUGCUUGUAGAAUUGUUUACACCCAAGCGUCGAAAAAAUGAACUUAAUUCCAACAAGACCUUGCACAAAGGUUUUGGAAGAACUCGUCGAAUAGCAAGUGGCAGUAGGUGGUGCAAGAUAAUAUGAUAGUCAUGACUUUUCAGUCCAACUAAUUUUUUUUCUUUUACUUGGACACAACCAGCUAUGUUAGAUGAGAAGUUAUCAGGAGGCCUGAACGAUGCCAAUACUUCGAACAUCAUAGUCUUUUCAUCAUUAGCCAAUGUAAAUAUAGCUGGAGGGCAUAAAGUUUUUC